GUGCUUGCUUCAACAGCACAUAUACUAAAACUGGAGCAAUGCAGAGAAGAUUAGCAUGGUCCCUGCCAGGAUGACAUACAAAUUUAUGAAGCAUUCCAUAUAUUU
Small nuclear RNA from Bubalus bubalis (water buffalo), 105 nucleotides. NCBI's taxonomy places the organism in Eukaryota, Metazoa, Chordata, Mammalia, Artiodactyla, Bovidae. The record is from RefSeq and is a predicted model, not a curated record.